This 375-nucleotide ribosomal RNA is filed under the name uncultured bacterium. Its description in RNAcentral is "partial 16S ribosomal RNA". It matches the Rfam family "Bacterial small subunit ribosomal RNA", at positions 30 to 405 of the family's 1533-position model. The record is from RNAcentral.
AUUGAACGCUGGCGGCAUGCCUAACACAUGCAAGUCGAACGGUAACAGGCCCUUCGGGGUGCUGACGAGUGGCGGAUGGGUGAGUAAUACUUAGGAAUCUACCCUGUAGUGGGGACGAACCCGGGAAACGUCGGCGUAAUACCGCAUACGCUCUACGGAGGAAAGCGGGGACCGGCAAGGCCUCGCGCUAUUGGAUGAGCCUAAGCCCGAUUAGCUAGUUGGUGGGGUAAUANCCUACCGAGGCAAUGAUCGGUAGCUGGUCUGAGAGGACGACCAGCCACACUGGGACUGAGACACGGCCCAGACUCCUACGGGAGGCAGCAGGUGGGGAAUAUUGGACAAUGGGCGAAGCCUGAUCCAGCGAUGCCGCGUGUG